Molecule: ribosomal RNA, 353 nt
Filed under: uncultured bacterium
Lineage: Bacteria
Description: partial 16S ribosomal RNA
Rfam family: Bacterial small subunit ribosomal RNA
Source: RNAcentral
CCUACGGGAGGCAGCAGUGAGGAAUAUUGGUCAAUGGGCGCGAGCCUGAACCAGCCAAGUAGCGUGAAGGAUGACUGCCCUACGGGUUGUAAACUUCUUUUAUAAAGGAAUAAAGUGAGGCACGUGUGCCUUUUUGUAUGUACUUUAUGAAUAAGGAUCGGCUAACUCCGUGCCAGCAGCCGCGGUAAUACGGAGGAGCCGAGCGUUAUCCGGAUUUAUUGGGUUUAAAGGGAGCGUAGAUGGGUUGUUAAGUCGAUUGGGAAAGUUUGCGGCUCAACCGUAAAUUUGCAGUUGAUACUGGGAGUCUUGAGGGCAGUUGAUGUAGGCGGAAUUGGUGGUGUAGGGGUGAAAGG